UCUGGAAACUNUCUGACUUGAGUGCAGAAGGGGAGAGUGGANUUCCAUGUGUAGCGGUGAAAUGCGUAGAUAUAUGGAGGAACACCAGUGGCGAAAGCGGCUCUCUGGUCUGUCACUGACGCUGAGGCUCGAAAGCGUGGGUAGCGAACAGGAUUAGAUACCCUGGUAGUCCACGCCGUAAACGAUGAGUGCUAGGUGUUAGGCCCUUUCCGGGGCUUAGUGCCGGAGCUAACGCAAUAAGCACUCCGCCUGGGGAGUACGACCGCAAGGUUGAAACUCAAAGGAAUUGACGGGGGCCCGCACAAGCGGUGGAGCAUGUGGUUUAAUUCGAAGCAACGCGAAGAACCUUACCAGGUCUUGACAUCCCGAUGCUAUUCUUAGAGAUAGGAAGUUACUUCGGUACAUCGGAGACAGGUGGUGCAUGGUUGUCGUCAGCUCGUGUCGUGAGAUGUUGGGUUAAGUCCCGCAACGAGCGCAACCCUUAUUGUUAGUUGCCAUCAUUAAGUUGGGCACUCUAGCGAGACUGCCGGUAAUAAACCGGAGGAAGGUGGGGAUGACGUCAAAUCAUCAUGCCCCUUAUGACCUGGGCUACACACGUGCUACAAUGGUCGGUACAACGAGUUGCGAGCCGGUGACGGCAAGCUAAUCUCUGAAAGCCGAUCUCAGUUCGGAUUGGAGGCUGCAACUCGCCUCCAUGAAGUCGGAAUCGCUAGUAAUCGCGGAUCAGCACGCCGCGGUGAAUACGUUCCCGGGCCUUGUACACACCGCCCGUCACACCACGAGAGUUUGUAACACCCGAAGUCGGUGAGGUANCCUUUUAGGGGCCA
RNAcentral lists this ribosomal RNA (827 nucleotides) under uncultured bacterium. Its description in RNAcentral is "bacterial SSU rRNA". It matches the Rfam family "Bacterial small subunit ribosomal RNA", at positions 625 to 1451 of the family's 1533-position model. The record is from RNAcentral.